Molecule: long non-coding RNA, 284 nt
Organism: Cyprinus carpio (common carp)
Lineage: Eukaryota; Metazoa; Chordata; Actinopteri; Cypriniformes; Cyprinidae
Source: Ensembl
GACAACUGCAUCCUCAGACAACAAAGAGGACCGACUCUUGAAUCUCUCUCUCGUUACUGUUAAGCAAGGUCCUCAAAGAAGUUUGUAGUUGAUUCAGGCAUCUGUCAGGGCUAGAGGUUGUUGUUUCUGUCCAUGGGAUCAAUCUUCCUGUCUGACCCUAAAGGACAAACGGAACUCUUGAGGAUGUGGAAGGAGAGAGAGAGACGCCAGUGAAAACAUUAACAUAAGUAAGCUCUCUCCACGACAUGCCUCUCUGUAGCCGUGUAUGGCUGUGCAGACACAGG